GAUUUUCAUUGGAACCAAGCAAAUUCGGGCUGCGUUAGGGUCUGUAAGUCUCGUCACGUGACUCGCGAGAUUUUUCGAUAAUAUUAACUUCCAGGUACCUCACACAUGGAGAUGUGUAUUGGGUUAUGCAUGUUUAUGGUUUACACAAAGCGUAUAAGGAAAGUUUAAGCAGUUGUACAAAGCCGAAGGGUUCUCCGACUUACGAUGGAUAAAUUGAGGGUCGUAAAAGCUUGGGUGCGAGCAAGUAGGAGGAGAAUUUCGAUCGAAGUACAGAUUUUUCUUGAAUUCGAGGAUAAUAAUGUUAUUACCAGCUGAUUAAGGAGGAGUAGUGUAAGUGUCAGAUGGGUACGAACGUCAUCUUGUGACAGCAUCACCUUUGUUUGGCUAAAAUACAAGAGAACUGCAGCAUCUAAGACUACAUGUACAUCGACUUUGAAUAAUUUACCCGGUAUAUCCUCAAAAAGGCAACUUAAAUACAGAAAGUGCAUAUAAUUUGGAAAAGAGACCAUCAAUCCACUGGGGGGUAUCGCAUGAAAGCAAUGAUUAUAGAAUAUUGUAAGGCUGGAGGAGUUAUAGUACAACAGGCAGGCGAGUAAUGGUAUAUGUCUGCGCAUCUGGCAAUCUUAGGACAUCACUGGAUGGUUUUGUUUAAAAAGAUUACAGAGUUAACACGCACUUCCAGCAUGAAGACCAGCCAGUUGCCUCACCUGUCCUGACAUUGUUAAAGUACUUUGUGACAGUGAAAAGACGUGGCUUUAAAUUACUGUAUCAGAGAUCAAUCCAGGUUAUAAAUCUGAGGAAAACAAUAAAGCAUCCACUUCGAGCUACUUAUAUCACUGCCUUAAUAAGAUGUCUGCAUGUGUAACUAACAAAGGACAGUGACCAGUUGUAUAGCUAUGAUAUCAGAGGGCAUCCUGAAAAACACUCAUCACUAAGAAUAGAAAACUUCAAAUGACUUUUGUAUCAAUCCUUUGGCUUGGAAUUUCAGUAGCCUUUAGCAUCCUUCAAGCAUUUCAUGAAGUACAUUUACCAAUUUGCAGGCAUAAAAUGUUUGAAAUAAAAAAAAAUAAUUUCUCUGCCGGUUAACAGUGUCAUAAGCAGUUGAUUGAUAUCACAGUUCCACUGGCAUAGUAUUUGUGGUUGAAUGGUGCCAUUUUUAAGAAAACUUUUCACAAAAACCUGGAAAACAUCAGAUGGAAAGGAGCAUCUACAAGAAAAACAGUUAACACUUUCUUGAAUAUUAACAAUGAUAUAUCAUGCCCAUUUACAUCCUUUAUAUAAACUAAUUAACCUAAUCAUAGAGAAUUAUGUACAAAUUUGUCCUUUUGUGUAUUUAUAGUGUAUUAAAUUGAUUUUACUAAUUUAUAAAUAUUUAUGUUUUUCACAGUCAUUAACAUUUACAAAUAGAAGUACACAUAACAUAAAAAUAUUACAUGUUUAGUAGGAUAACGUGAAAUUGUUAUACCACAAAAACCAUCGCUGACCUCGCCUCGGUCAGCAAUGGUUUUUAAGGGGUAAGAAUUUUACAUCACCCAAAAUAAACAGGUAAUAUUUUUCUUGUCAUAAAAUGCAUUUUAGAAAGGAAACAUCAAGGUGAAACGAAUGUGCAAACAUUCUGCACAGUUAACAUUUUUUAUUACUGUAUAUACUGUUACCCGUAGUCAUGCAUUUUCAACCAUUGGGAUGUAAUGUUUGGCAUACAGUAUGGUAAUAGUACUUGUUAACAAAUGUUUUUUAAACCAAUCAAAUUUGACUAUUUAACAUGAAAGUGUAUCAUAACAAAUUUAUCUAGCAUAAUGGUGCUGUAAGUAACCAUGGAAUGUGAGCUUGUGUGAACUUGAUCCUGAAUUAUUAAGUUUUGAAUAUUGUAAUAAAGAAUUGUGCAGCCUAAA
This is a long non-coding RNA of Saccostrea echinata, 1892 nucleotides long. RefSeq lists it as uncharacterized. The record is from RefSeq and is a predicted model, not a curated record. The transcript is spliced from 6 exons. NCBI's taxonomy places the organism in Eukaryota, Metazoa, Mollusca, Bivalvia, Ostreida, Ostreidae.